Molecule: ribosomal RNA, 1260 nt
Filed under: uncultured bacterium
Lineage: Bacteria
Description: bacterial SSU rRNA
Rfam family: Bacterial small subunit ribosomal RNA
Source: RNAcentral
GGGUGAGUAAGAGGUGAGUAAUCUGCCUUUCAGAGGGGGAUACCUGUUGGAAACGACAGUUAAUACCGCAUAAAAUAAUUUUACCGCAUGAUAAAAUUAUCAAAGAUUUAUCGCUGAAAGAUGAGCUCGCGUCUGAUUAGCUAGUUGGUAAGGUAACGGCCUACCAAGGCAACGAUCAGUAGCCGGACUGAGAGGUUGGACGGCCACAUUGGGACUGAGACACGGCCCAGACUCCUACGGGAGGCAGCAGUGGGGAAUAUUGCACAAUGGAGGAAACUCUGAUGCAGCGAUGCCGCGUGAGGGAAGAAGGUUUUAGGAUUGUAAACCUCUGUCUUAGGGGACGAUAAUGACGGUACCCUAGGAGGAAGCUCCGGCUAACUACGUGCCAGCAGCCGCGGUAAUACGUAGGGAGCGAGCGUUGUCCGGAAUUACUGGGUGUAAAGGGAGUGUAGGCGGGACUGCAAGUCAGAUGUGAAAACUAUGGGCUUAACCCAUAGACUGCAUUUGAAACUGCGGUUCUUGAGUGAAGUAGAGGUAAGCGGAAUUCCUAGUGUAGCGGUGAAAUGCGUAGAUAUUAGGAGGAACAUCAGUGGCGAAGGCGGCUUACUGGGCUUUAACUGACGCUGAGGCUCGAAAGCGUGGGGAGCAAACAGGACUAGAUACCCUGGUAGUCCACGCUGUAAACGAUGAUUUACUAGGUGUGGGGGGACUGGCCCCUUCCGUGCCGCAGUUAACACAAAAAGUAUUCCACCUGGGGAGUACGCCCGCAAGGCUGAAACUCAAAGGAAUUGACGGGGGCCCGCACAAGCAGUGGAGUAUGUGGAUUAAUUCGAAGCAACGCGAAGAACCUUGCCAGGUCUUGACAUCGUAUGCAUAGCUCAGAGAUGAGUGAAAUCCCUUCGGGGACAUAUAGACAGGUGGUGCAUGGUUGUCGUCAGCUCGUGUCGUGAGAUGUUGGGUUAAGUCCCGCAACGAGCGCAACCCUUAUGUUUAGUUGCUACGCAAGAGCACUCUAGACAGACUGCCGUUGACAAAACGGAGGAAGGUGGGGAUGACGUCAAAUCAUCAUGCCCCUUAUGACCUGGGCCUCACACGUACUACAAUGGCUAUAAACAAAGUGAAGCAAGACAGUGAUGUGGAGCAAAACACAAAAAAUAGUCUUAGUUCGGAUUGUAGGCUGCAACCCGCCUACAUGAAGUCGGAAUUGCUAGUAAUCGCAGAUCAGCAUGCUGCGGUGAAUACGUUCCCGGGCCUUGCACA